UUGUUUUUGUAUUGUUGUAUUUGUUGUAGCGACGAGGCUACUUUAUUAAGUGUACACUGGUUAUGAGUUACCCAAGUACAAGAAGAAGAGAUACAUGGCAAAUUGUAUCGUUAAGAGUAUUAAUCUGGUUGCCGAAAAAACGAAGAAAUAAAUUAAUUGAUUGGAAGCUAUACUGAAGAUUUUUAAAAUUACCUUUUUUUGUAAUAAAGUGAAAAAUCUUCAUUUUUCGUCUUAUAACAUUUGAUAGUUAUAAGAUGGCGGCUACUGGAGAAGAUUCGAAUAAGAGCUGUAUACUAUGCGUGGAGCCUGAUAAUGAUGAAAUGGUGUGCUGCGAUAAAUGUGAUGGCUGGUAUCAUUUCUCCUAUGUAGGUGUUACAGAAGCAGUUGCAGACAUAGAAUGGAUAUGUAAAUCUUGUAUUGCUAUGCCAACUUCAUUGGUUGCAGAAUUACAACAAAGUAAAGAGCAUAUAGUAGUGUAUAGGCGAAACUAAUUGCCAAGGACCUAAGUCCCCUGUCAAAGACCUAACUGUUAGUUGAUAACUCCCAUCGCACAAGGGCAUUCAUGGAAACUCAAUAGUGGGCGAAACAGCCAAAAAGGCUAUUGAUGAGGGGGCUGAAAUAAAUACCAAAUGGCAAAGAAUGGAUGCGAUAAGGGAAAUAGAGAGAAAAAUCAAAGAUGAAUGGGAGAGAAGAUAUGAGAACAGCAUAUAAGACAAAUAAAUCAGAUAAUAACGGGGCACAGCUUCAGCCGACACGCACUGGCACGCAUGACGGUAAGUCCAGCAGGGGAUGGUAUAUGCGAAGGAUACAAUAUAGAGGAGGAUGACUAUCAUAUAAUCUUUAUCUGCGCGAAGUCACCCCGAUUUUACUCAAGUACACGGGAGUUGCAGACUUCUUUGCUAGGGAAAAGCCGAAUGAAUAUGUUCAUAUUGUAAGGUUUCUUGAGGAUAUUCUGAUGAAUCUAUGAACCCAUUGGGACGAAUAUUGGUGGCGUUGUCCCCCCCUGGACCAGCCAAGUAUUUCUCCUAUCCUUUGAAUUCCUGAAGGGGAAUGGAGUAAUGUCAAAUUCACAGUGAGAUCUCUGUUGUAGCCGUUAUAUUUAAAUAAACAAAUUUGUGUUUUUAUACCCUUCACCUUCGUGAGAAGGGUAUAUAUAAGUAUGUCAUUCCGUUUGUAAUUUCUAUAAUAUAAUUUUCCGAC
This is a long non-coding RNA of Lucilia cuprina (Australian sheep blowfly), 1200 nucleotides long. RefSeq lists it as uncharacterized. NCBI's taxonomy places the organism in Eukaryota, Metazoa, Arthropoda, Insecta, Diptera, Calliphoridae. The transcript is spliced from 3 exons. The record is from RefSeq and is a predicted model, not a curated record.